UACGGAGGGUGCGAGCGUUGUCCGGAAUCAUUGGGCGUAAAGGGCGCGUAGGUGGCGGCUUAAGCGUGCGGUGAAAGCUCGGGGCUCAACCCCGAGUCGGCCGUGCGAACUGAGUCGCUUGAGCACUGUAGAGGCAGGCGGAAUUCCGGGUGUAGCGGUGGAAUGCGUAGAGAUCCGGAAGAACACCGGUGGCGAAGGCGGGUCUCUGGGCCAUUACUGACGCUGAGGAGCGAAAAGCGUGGGGAGCGAACAGG
Molecule: ribosomal RNA, 254 nt
Filed under: uncultured bacterium
Lineage: Bacteria
Description: partial 16S ribosomal RNA
Rfam family: Bacterial small subunit ribosomal RNA
Source: RNAcentral